RNAcentral lists this ribosomal RNA (492 nucleotides) under uncultured bacterium. RNAcentral's name for it is "partial 16S ribosomal RNA". It matches the Rfam family "Bacterial small subunit ribosomal RNA", at positions 29 to 507 of the family's 1533-position model. The record is from RNAcentral.
AGUGAACGCUGGCGGUAGGCCUAACACAUGCAAGUCGAACGGCAGCACAGUAAGAGCUUGCUCUUACGGGUGGCGAGUGGCGGACGGGUGAGGAAUACAUCGGAAUCUACUUUUUCGUGGGGGAUAACGUAGGGAAACUUACGCUAAUACCGCAUACGACCUACGGGUGAAAGCAGGGGAUCUUCGGACCUUGCGCGAUUGAAUGAGCCGACGUCGGAUUAGCUAGUUGGCGGGGUAAAGGCCCACCAAGGCGACGAUCCGUAGCUGGUCCGAGAGGAUGAUCAGCCACACUGGAACUGAGACACGGUCCAGACUCCUACGGGAGGCAGCAGUGGGGAAUAUUGGACAAUGGGCGCAAGCCUGAUCCAGCCAUACCGCGUGGGUGAAGAAGGCCUUCGGGUUGUAAAGCCCUUUUGUUGGGAAAGAAAAGCAGCAGGUUAAUACCCCGCUGUUCUGACGGUACCCAAAGAAUAAGCACCGGCUAACUUCGUG